UUUCAUUGGGGUAGUUUCUUUUGCUGUGUCUUCAAAUUUACUUUUUUUAAAAUGAUUGUCUACUUUGCUGUUAAUCCCAUCCUGUAUUUUUUAAAUCUAAACCAUCGUGAUUUUUAUCUCUAGAAGUUCAAUUUGGGUCUGUUCAUAUCUUCCAUGCCUCUACUUCACAUGUUCUGUCUUUCCUCUAGCUUCUUGAGCACAUGGAAUACAGUUAUACUAACAGUUUUUAUGUUGUCGUCUACUAAUUCUGUUAUCUGUGUCAGUUCUGGAUCAGCUUCAACUGAUUGAUUUUUUCCCCCUCAUUAUGUUUGUGUUUUCCUGCUUCUUUGCAUGACUGGUAAUUUUUGAUUGAAUGCCAAACAUUACGGCUUUUACCUUGGUUGCUGGAUAUUAUUGUAUUCCUAUAAAGAUUCUUGAGCUUUUUUCAGGAACACAGUUAAGUAUUUGAAAUAAUUUUGAUCCUUCUGAGCCUUGCUUUUAAGCUUUAUUAGGUGGGACCACAGCAGCAUUGGAUCUAAGGUUAAUUUUCACACUACUGGACUCAUCCAGAAGAUCCAGGAUAACCUGGCUAUUUUAAGGUGAUGCUGAAGUUGCAUAGAAGAUGCACAUGACCUGUCAAUGCAACGACCCUGCAGAUACCGGCCUGUGGAUGUCGGUCUCUGAGUAGUCCUAUUAGCUGCUCUUCCAGGGAACAGAGAGCCUGAGCAUGCAGGGAGGGCAGAAUAUCCCUCUCUAGCAUGCCUCCACAUGGGGAGAGCGUGGAAGUCUUCUGCCACCAAGCCAAGGCUGAAACAUGAGAGGAGAGGCAAAACCUCCCCUCCCAUGCCUGACAGCACUUGGCACUCGGCACUCGGCCACUGGAUGUGACAGUCGCUGAGCGCGAUGUAACCACAGGAUCUUUCCAACCCUGAGAAAGUAAAGAUACCAUUUGUGUCAUGAAUAUGGGCUGUCU
RNAcentral lists this long non-coding RNA (952 nucleotides) under Equus caballus (horse). RNAcentral's name for it is "lncRNA (ENSECAG00000053458.1)". Lineage: Eukaryota; Metazoa; Chordata; Mammalia; Perissodactyla; Equidae. The record is from RNAcentral.